This 103-nucleotide transfer RNA is filed under the name Deltaproteobacteria bacterium. RNAcentral's name for it is "tRNA-Lys". Lineage: Bacteria; Pseudomonadati; Myxococcota; Myxococcia. The record is from RNAcentral.
GGGGCGAUCUGGUGAUAUGUUUCCUAUACUACAGGGGAAGGCACGGGUUGGUGUGACCCUCGCCGUUUAAGCGAGCGCGGGGGUUCGAUUCCCCCUCGCCCCG